RNAcentral lists this non-coding RNA (28 nucleotides) under Homo sapiens (human). The record is from RNAcentral. Lineage: Eukaryota; Metazoa; Chordata; Mammalia; Primates; Hominidae.
UGUCCAUCGAUAUUGUUGUUUCCACCCU